Molecule: long non-coding RNA, 2129 nt
Filed under: Homo sapiens (human)
Lineage: Eukaryota; Metazoa; Chordata; Mammalia; Primates; Hominidae
Description: HSALNT0146478
Source: RNAcentral
CUGCUUUCCUCAGGAAGAAAGAAGGGAGAAUAGGUGGCAAUGGGUGAGUCUUUAUUUUCCUUGAGACUGAAUUGAGGAUGUCAACUGUCUUAGAAAGAAAAUCGAAGCAAAUCCCUUUGUUCCAUUGCCCUUCAUAGGGAAAACAUACUAAAUUGGUCCUCUCUUUGCUAGGCUCUUCCAAAGGUUUAUAUCCUUGCUGAAAUAAUCUCUUUGGGAAUCACUUCUAAAUUUCAUGACCUUGUUCACUCUUUCUUAUUAGCCAUUCUUACAUCAGUUCUACCCUCUCCUAGUGCUAAAGCAUCUGGUAAAGCCAACUAAAUUUCUUGUGGAUUAGUGUGGUGCUUACCCAACAACAUGGGUGUGGUAGACAGCCUCCAGGAUGGCCCCAAAGACCCCAGCCUCAUGAUAUGCACACACUUGAGUAGUUCUCCUCCACAGUGUGCUGUGGUUUGUGUAACCAACAGAAUAUGGGAGAAGUGAUGGUAUGUCAUUUUUAAGAUUACAAAAAGAUGCUGCAUCUUCUAUUUUGACCACAUCUCUCUUGGAUCACUUGCUUUAAGGGAAGCCUGCUGCCAUGUCUUGAGGACCCUCCAACAGCUCUGUGGAGAAGCCCACAUGGUGAGAAACUGAGGCCUUCAUGCAACAGCCAUGUGAAAAAGUCUUCAUGGAAGUGGGUCUUCCAGCCCAAUCAGAUCUUCAGAUGACUGCAGCCCCAGCUGACAGUUUCACAGGAAACUAAUGAGAGACCCUGAACCAGAGCCACCUGGGCCCCUGAGUUUCUGGCAGUUACAGUCAGGGCCCUCUGCUGAAAGAAGCAUCAUGGAAACCUGGACACACAUGAGAACCGGCCUUCCACGCAGGCAAGAAGCAGAAACUGAGGCUCCUCCUUCUCCAUCAUGAGGAAUGUCUUCUGGAAGGCCCUCUGUUGACCUCUCUUGAGAGAUGGCUUUGGUCUGGGUCACCCUGGGCCAUCAGUCAUAUUCUAAUAAUUUGAACCUUAAAAAGAAGGGGUUCUGGUUUCUGUUUCCUCUUUUUGUGUCCCAUAUAAAUUUCAGAUGCGGACAGAUGUAUAGGCAUGGGGCCUUGGCUAACUGCACUCACGACUCUUAGCCAAAUUAAUGAAGGAUAAUACUAAAGAGAACAAAACCCCCAGGGUAUUACAUAUGGAUUUCAAAUUCCAGAAUGAGUGCGAGAUAAGGGAAAUGAUGUAGUAUUUAAGACAGAAUCUCAAAUAAGAGCCAACCAAUACUGCCCCAGCCCUUGACCCGAGUUCUAAUUUCUCCUUUUGCACAUGGAAAGGGAGAAAGAAGAGGAGCAUGUGAGUGGUUUGAAGUACCCUGCCAUUCCUUACACAUCUGGGCAAAACUCAUCAUAAUAAGGUAAAUCAGUUAACGUCAAAAUGCAUCAAAGAGAAAAUGCAGCAAUUCCUACUAGAUUCAAUUUUUCAAUUUUCAUAUAAGAAUUAAAGCUAAAUAUUGACAAAGGAAAUUUAUUUCUUGCAAAUAAUUGGGGUUGAAGCUUUUAUAUGGGGUCAAUGAUUCAUAGGUUACAAUAUGGCUGAGUUGGAAGGUAUAUGAUCAUGGAUGUCAACUAUGGAGGAGAAAAUGUUGAUUUGGGAGUUUAUAGUUCCACAGAAGAAACAUGAAAGAAAAAAUAUGUAGCCAGAAAAGGUGACAUUACAAAGGGAUUUUUCCACUGUAGUUCAUGAAAGAUAAUAGACUUGGAAAUACCAGAAAGUUGCUUGUGUCUUUAAACAUUUAGUAAACAUAUAAGAAUGUAAAAUAAUUUUCUUUAAAAAGGUACAUUAAUAAUCUGGGUCAGAAUUAUAAAAAUUAAAAUUAAGAAAAUUUACCCUUUAGAAAGAAGGGGAGUGGUGAAAUGGAAAGUGAAAUAUUAUAUCUUUUGCAAUGGUGCUCUCUAAUUACUAAAAUUAAUUUCUCAGAAGUUGGGAGAUCUGGCAGAAAUCCAUAAAUAUAAACAAUUUUUUGUUUGAAAAGGAAGAAAUGAAAAUUGAGACGGAGGCUGAAGGAGGAGCCCUGAUUCUGUUUUCGGCUAUCCACAGGAUGGGACAUUUUAUGAAAGGAUUCAAAGGAAGCUUUCAAGUAAGGCUGCCUUCAUCCUUGCCAUGG